CCUACGGGAGGCAGCAGUCGAGACUCAUUCUCAAUGGGGGAAACCCUGAUGGUGCGACGCCGCGUGGGGGAAUGAAGGUCUUCGGGUUGUAAACCUCUGUCAUGUGGGAGCAAAUUCCAGAGAUAGUACCCUAUGAGGAUGCGACGGCUAACUCUGUGCCAGCAGGCGCAGUAAUACAGAGGUCUCAAGCGUUGUUCGGAAUCACUGGGCGUAAAGCGUGCGUUGGAUGGUUCCUAAGUCGUGUGUUAAAGGCGUGGGGUCAAACCGCGGACAGCACAUGAUACUGCGGGACUAGAGUAAGGGAGGGGGAACCGGAAUGCUCGGUGUAGCAGUGAAAUGCAUAGAUAUCGAGAGGAACACUGGUGGCGAAGGCGGGUUCCUGGACAUUAACUGACGCUGAGGCACGAAGGCCAGGGGAGCGAAAGGGAUUAGAUACCCGUGUAGUC
Molecule: ribosomal RNA, 446 nt
Filed under: uncultured bacterium
Lineage: Bacteria
Description: partial 16S ribosomal RNA
Rfam family: Bacterial small subunit ribosomal RNA
Source: RNAcentral